AGAAAAUAGAUACCCAGGUAGUCCACGCCCUAAACGAUGUCAACUAGUUGUCGGGUCUUAAUUGACUUGGUAAACGCAGCUAAACGCGUGAAGUUGACCGCCUGGGGAGUACGGUCGCAAGAUUAAAACUCAAAGGAAUUGACGGGGACCCGCACAAGCGGUGGAUGAUGUGGAUUAAUUCGAUGCAACGCGAAAAACCUUACCUACCCUUGACAUGUCAGGAAUCCUGCAGAGAUGUGGGAGUGCCCGAAAGGGAACCUGAGCACAGGUGCUGCAUGGCUGUCGUCAGCUCGUGUCGUGAGAUGUUGGGUUAAGUCCCGCAACGAGCGCAACCCUUGUCAUUAGUUGCUACGAAAGGGCACUCUAAUGAGACUGCCGGUGACAAACCGGAGGAAGGUGGGGAUGACGUCAAGUCCUCAUGGCCCUUAUGGGUAGGCUUCACACGUCAUACAAUGGUACAUACAGAGGGCUGCCAACCC
This 479-nucleotide ribosomal RNA is filed under the name uncultured bacterium. Its description in RNAcentral is "bacterial SSU rRNA". It matches the Rfam family "Bacterial small subunit ribosomal RNA", at positions 775 to 1256 of the family's 1533-position model. The record is from RNAcentral.